AUUGAACGCUGGCGGCAGGCCUAACACAUGCAAGUCGAACGAGUGGCGGACGGGUGAUUAAUGUUUGGGAAACUGCCUGAUGGAGGGGGAUAACUACUGGAAACUGUAGCUAAUACCGCAUACCAUCGGAUGUGCCCAGAUGGGAUUAGCUAGUAGGUGGGGUAAAGGCUCACCUAGGCGACGAUCACUAGCUGGUCUGAGAGGAUGACCAGCCACACUGGAACUGAGAAACGGUCCGGACUCGUCCGGGAGGCAGAAGUGGGUAAUAAUGCACAAUGGGAGAAAGCCUGAUGCAGCCAUGCCGCGUGUAGGAAGAAGGCCUUCGGGUUGUAAAGUACUUUCAGCGGUGAGGCGUUAACCGCAGAAGAAGCACCGGAUAACUCCGUGCCAGCAGCCGCGGUAAUAG
This 406-nucleotide ribosomal RNA is filed under the name uncultured bacterium. RNAcentral's name for it is "partial 16S ribosomal RNA". It matches the Rfam family "Bacterial small subunit ribosomal RNA", at positions 30 to 526 of the family's 1533-position model. The record is from RNAcentral.